Molecule: ribosomal RNA, 483 nt
Filed under: uncultured bacterium
Lineage: Bacteria
Description: partial 16S ribosomal RNA
Rfam family: Bacterial small subunit ribosomal RNA
Source: RNAcentral
GAUGAACGCUGGCGGCGUGCCUAAUACAUGCAAGUCGAGCGAAUGGAUUAAGAGCUUGCUCUCCGGAUUAGUGGCGAACGGGUGAGUAACACGUGACUAACCUGCCCCUUUCUCUGGGAUAACGCUCCGAAAGGAGUGCUAAUACCGGAUACGAACUCUGAACACAUGUUCGGAGUUGGAAAGUUUUUCGGAAAGGGAUGGAGUCGCGGCCUAUCAGCUUGUUAGUGAGGUAACGGCUCACCAAGGCGACGACGGGUAGCCGGCCUGAGAGGGCGACCGGCCACACUGGGACUGAGACACGGCCCAGACUCCUACGGGAGGCAGCAGUGGGGAAUAUUGCACAAUGGGCGAAAGCCUGAUGCAGCGACACCGCGUGAGGGAUGAAGGUCUUCGGAUUGUAAACCUCUUUCAGUAGGGACGAAGCGAAAGUGACGGUACCUAAAGAAGAAGCACCGGCUAACUACGUGCCAGCCGCCGCAGUAA